UCCCUGAUGGCUCAGUGGUAAAGAAUCUGCCUGCCAAUGCAGGAGACACGGGUUCAAUCCCUGGUCUGGGAA
This 72-nucleotide transfer RNA is filed under the name Bos taurus (domestic cattle). It matches the Rfam family "tRNA". From Rfam's summary of the family: Transfer RNA (tRNA) molecules are approximately 80 nucleotides in length. RNAcentral also lists the same sequence under 4 other names. The record is from Rfam by way of RNAcentral. Lineage: Eukaryota; Metazoa; Chordata; Mammalia; Artiodactyla; Bovidae.